This 1570-nucleotide ribosomal RNA is filed under the name Salmonella enterica subsp. enterica serovar Singapore. Its description in RNAcentral is "partial 23S ribosomal RNA". It matches the Rfam family "Bacterial large subunit ribosomal RNA", at positions 1270 to 2823 of the family's 2925-position model. Lineage: Bacteria; Pseudomonadati; Pseudomonadota; Gammaproteobacteria; Enterobacterales; Enterobacteriaceae. The record is from RNAcentral.
AUGCUGGAGGUAUCAGAAGUGCGAAUGCUGACAUAAGUAACGAUAAAGCGGGUGAAAAGCCCGCUCGCCGGAAGACCAAGGGUUCCUGUCCAACGUUAAUCGGGGCAGGGUGAGUCGACCCCUAAGGCGAGGCCGAAAGGCGUAGUCGAUGGGAAACAGGUUAAUAUUCCUGUACUUGGUGUUACUGCGAAGGGGGGACGGAGAAGGCUAUGUUGGCCGGGCGACGGUUGUCCCGGUUUAAGCGUGUAGGCUGGUUUUCCAGGCAAAUCCGGUUCACUUUAAAACUGAGGCGUGACGACGAGGCACUACGGUGCUGAAGCAACAAAUGCCCUGCUUCCAGGAAAAGCCUCUAAGCAUCAGGUAACAUCAAAUCGUACCCCAAACCGACACAGGUGGUCAGGUAGAGAAUACCAAGGCGCUUGAGAGAACUCGGGUGAAGGAACUAGGCAAAAUGGUGCCGUAACUUCGGGAGAAGGCACGCUGACAUGUAGGUGAAGUGAUUUACUCACGGAGCUGAAGUCAGUCGAAGAUACCAGCUGGCUGCAACUGUUUAUUAAAAACACAGCACUGUGCAAACACGAAAGUGGACGUAUACGGUGUGACGCCUGCCCGGUGCCGGAAGGUUAAUUGAUGGGGUCAGCGCAAGCGAAGCUCCUGAUCGAAGCCCCGGUAAACGGCGGCCGUAACUAUAACGGUCCUAAGGUAGCGAAAUUCCUUGUCGGGUAAGUUCCGACCUGCACGAAUGGCGUAAUGAUGGCCAGGCUGUCUCCACCCGAGACUCAGUGAAAUUGAACUCGCUGUGAAGAUGCAGUGUACCCGCGGCAAGACGGAAAGACCCCGUGAACCUUUACUAUAGCUUGACACUGAACAUUGAGCCUUGAUGUGUAGGAUAGGUGGGAGGCUUUGAAGCGUGGACGCCAGUCUGCGUGGAGCCGACCUUGAAAUACCACCCUUUAAUGUUUGAUGUUCUAACGUGGACCCGUAAUCCGGGUUGCGGACAGUGUCUGGUGGGUAGUUUGACUGGGGCGGUCUCCUCCUAAAGAGUAACGGAGGAGCACGAAGGUUGGCUAAUCCUGGUCGGACAUCAGGAGGUUAGUGCAAUGGCAUAAGCCAGCUUGACUGCGAGCGUGACGGCGCGAGCAGGUGCGAAAGCAGGUCAUAGUGAUCCGGUGGUUCUGAAUGGAAGGGCCAUCGCUCAACGGAUAAAAGGUACUCCGGGGAUAACAGGCUGAUACCGCCCAAGAGUUCAUAUCGACGGCGGUGUUUGGCACCUCGAUGUCGGCUCAUCACAUCCUGGGGCUGAAGUAGGUCCCAAGGGUAUGGCUGUUCGCCAUUUAAAGUGGUACGCGAGCUGGGUUUAGAACGUCGUGAGACAGUUCGGUCCCUAUCUGCCGUGGGCGCUGGAGAACUGAGGGGGGCUGCUCCUAGUACGAGAGGACCGGAGUGGACGCAUCACUGGUGUUCGGGUUGUCAUGCCAAUGGCACUGCCCGGUAGCUAAAUGCGGAAGAGAUAAGUGCUGAAAGCAUCUAAGCACGAAACUUGCCCCGAGAUGAGUUCUCCCUGAGACUU